AUGUAUUCAGUUCGUUUAAGAUAAGUUGGCAAUAAAAAAAGUGGUAAAAACAUCCACAAUGGUGGGCUUUUUUGUUGUGUUUAUUUUGCGGAUUGGCAUGGAUAUGGACUAGACAUAGCUGUUUUAAGGUUAUAUAUUUUUUCCUAUAUGUCUUUUUUGCGUUGUUAUGCAGACUAAAGUUCCUUUGUGGAUUUAUGAUCUGCAUUUUUUAU
RNAcentral lists this non-coding RNA (212 nucleotides) under Clostridium pasteurianum DSM 525 = ATCC 6013. RNAcentral's name for it is "Enterococcus sRNA 1300". It matches the Rfam family "Enterococcus sRNA 1300". From Rfam's summary of the family: Expressed in mid and late exponential phases of growth. Expression remained uniform under daptomycin exposure. Lineage: Bacteria; Bacillati; Bacillota; Clostridia; Eubacteriales; Clostridiaceae. The record is from Rfam by way of RNAcentral.